This 293-nucleotide ribosomal RNA is filed under the name uncultured bacterium. RNAcentral's name for it is "partial 16S ribosomal RNA". The record is from RNAcentral.
GGACUACAAGGGUUUCUAAUCCUGUUUGCUCCCCACGCUUUCGCUCCUCAGCGUCAGUACCGGCCCAGAGCGCCGCCUUCGCCGCUGGUAUUCCUCCUGAUAUCUGCGCAUUUCACCGCUACACCAGGAAUUCUACGCUCCUCUACCGGACUCUAGCCACGGCAGUAUCGAGUGGCGUCUCCAGGUUGAGCCUGGAGGUUUCACACCCGACUUACCGAGCCGCCUACGAGCUCUUUACGCCCAAUAAAUCCGGACAACGCUCGCCCCCUACGUGUUACCGCGGCUGCUGGCAC